RNAcentral lists this ribosomal RNA (520 nucleotides) under uncultured Glomeromycotina. RNAcentral's name for it is "SSU rRNA". It matches the Rfam family "Eukaryotic small subunit ribosomal RNA", at positions 569 to 1093 of the family's 1831-position model. The record is from RNAcentral. Lineage: Eukaryota; Fungi; Glomeromycota.
AGCAGCCGCGGUAAUUCCAACUCCAAUAGCGUAUAUUAAAGUUGUUGCAGUUAAAAAGCUCGUAGUUGAAUUUCGGGAUUAGUACGCUGGUCAUGCCUUUGGUAUGUACUGGUGUUACUGAUUUCUACCUUCUGAAGAACCGUUAUGUCAUUUAUUUGGUGUGGCGGGGAAUCAGGACUGUUACUUUGAAAAAAUUAGAGUGCUUAAAGCAGGCUCGCGCUUGAAUACAUUAGCAUGGAAUAAUGAAAUAGGACGUUUGACCCUAUUUUGUUGGUUUCUAGGAUCGACGUAAUGAUUAAUAGGGAUAGUUGGGGGCAUUAGUAUUCAAUUGUCAGAGGUGAAAUUCUUGGAUUUAUUGAAGACUAACUACUGCGAAAGCAUUUGCCAAGGAUGUUUUCAUUAAUCAAGAACGAAAGUUAGGGGAUCGAAGACGAUCAGAUACCGUCGUAGUCUUAACCAUAAACUAUGCCGACUAGGGAUCGGAUGAUGUUAUUUUAAUGACUCAUUCGGCGCCUUACGG